Molecule: long non-coding RNA, 227 nt
Organism: Chionomys nivalis (European snow vole)
Lineage: Eukaryota; Metazoa; Chordata; Mammalia; Rodentia; Cricetidae
Exons: 3
Source: RefSeq, a predicted model, not a curated record
GCGAGAGAAGGGAUCGAGAAAGUGAACGUGGGAUGGAGACGUAGGUGGAAUGAGGAGCACCUUCGUGAAGUUCCAGCGCUGGAUGAAGUGGCGGGCAAGGUCCCGGGCAGCUGCACCGUGUACAACCACUCCGACAUCCCUCCAUGGCAUCCUGGAAAGCCAUCAAGUCCCACUCACCGAGCCAGAGGGAGCAGACUCAUCAAGACUUUGUGUCUCUGGAGGUCCCG